RNAcentral lists this ribosomal RNA (472 nucleotides) under uncultured Desulfobulbus sp. RNAcentral's name for it is "bacterial SSU rRNA". It matches the Rfam family "Bacterial small subunit ribosomal RNA", at positions 917 to 1381 of the family's 1533-position model. Lineage: Bacteria; Pseudomonadati; Thermodesulfobacteriota; Desulfobulbia; Desulfobulbales; Desulfobulbaceae. The record is from RNAcentral.
CGGGCCCGCACAAGCGGUGGAGUAUGUGGUUUAAUUCGAUGCAACGCGAAGAACCUUACCUGGUCUUGACAUCCCGGAGACCCUUAGGAAACUAGGGGGUGCUUCCAUCUGGAAGAAUCUGGAGACAGGUGCUGCAUGGCUGUCGUCAGCUCGUGUCGUGAGAUGUUGGGUUAAGUCCCGCAACGAGCGCAACCCUUGCCUUUAGUUGCCAGCAGUUCGGCUGGGCACUCUAAAGGGACUGCCGGUGUUAAACCGGAGGAAGGUGGGGAUGACGUCAAGUCCUCAUGGCCUUUAUGACCAGGGCUACACACGUACUACAAUGGCCGAUACAAAGGGCAGCGACACUGCGAGGUGAAGCCAAUCCCGUAAAAUCGGUCUCAGUCCGGAUUGGAGUCUGCAACUCGACUCCAUGAAGUUGGAAUCGCUAGUAAUCGUGGAUCAGCAUGCCACGGUGAAUACGUUCCCGGGCCUU